Molecule: ribosomal RNA, 498 nt
Filed under: uncultured bacterium
Lineage: Bacteria
Description: partial 16S ribosomal RNA
Rfam family: Bacterial small subunit ribosomal RNA
Source: RNAcentral
GAUGAACGCUGGCGGCGUGCCUAAUACAUGCAAGUCGAGCGAACAGACGAGAGUGCUUGCACUCUCUGACGUUAGCGGCGGACGGGUGAGUAACACGUGGGUAACCUACCUAUAAGACUGGGAUAACUUCGGGAAACCGGAGCUAAUACCGGAUAAUAUUUAGCUUCGCAUGAAGCAAUAGUGAAAGACGGUUCUGCUGUCACUUAUAGAUGGACCCGCGGUGUAUUAGCUAGUUGGUGAGGUAACGGCUCACCAAGGCAACGAUACAUAGCCGACCUGAGGGGGGGACCGGCCAACAGGGGACUGAAAAACGCCCCAAAACCCCAAGGGAGGCAGAAGUAGGGAAUUUUCCGAAAGGGAAGAAAGGUGGAGGGGGAAAGGCCGGGGGAGGGAAGAAGGUUUCCGGAUCGAAAAAAUUUGUUUAAAGGGAAAAAAAAGUACGUUAGUAAAGGAACGUACCUUGACGGUCCCUUACCAAAAAGCCAAGGAUAAAUACGG